Molecule: ribosomal RNA, 233 nt
Filed under: uncultured bacterium
Lineage: Bacteria
Description: partial 16S ribosomal RNA
Rfam family: Bacterial small subunit ribosomal RNA
Source: RNAcentral
GAUCCUGGCUCAGAUUGAACGCUGGCGGCAUGCCUUACACAUGCAAGUCGAACGGCAGCAUGGAGAGCUUGCUCUCUGAUGGCGAGUGGCGAACGGGUGAGUAAUACAUCGGAACGUGUCCGUUUGUGGGGGACAACCGUCCGAAAGGAUGGCUAAUACCGCAUAAGACCUGAGGGUGAAAGCCGGGGACCGCAAGGCCCGGCGCAGACGGAGCGGCCGAUGAUUGAUUAGCG